RNAcentral lists this long non-coding RNA (2131 nucleotides) under Homo sapiens (human). RNAcentral's name for it is "HSALNT0046751". Lineage: Eukaryota; Metazoa; Chordata; Mammalia; Primates; Hominidae. The record is from RNAcentral.
UGAUGAAGUGUUGCAUCACUUCAAUAGUAUAUUUUCUUGACCAAAUAUAGUUGUCAUGAAAAUUAGCAGAUUCAGAGAAAAAAUAUAGCUUAGACAACUGCUUGCUAAUAUCAGUUCUAAAAGCAUGGUAAAAGUUUAUUUCCCAUAGGUCAUUCAAUGACAUGUGCUUCUAAGUUAAGUGCCAGUAUCUGUAACCAAUAUCUGUUCUAGGAGCUCUCAUUUAAACAAGUGAAAAUACAUCAAAAGAACUGAAACAAAUCAGCAGUCACCAUUCAGGAUUUAUUUGUAUUAAUCUACUUAACUCAAAACACUUUUUUUCUUGAUCUCUACUGUUUACUGCACCUAUAUCUUAAAAAACCAUAAGCCAUAUACAACAAAUACAAUAGAUAGGAAUGUGUAUAGCUGGCCAAUAUUAAAACAUCAGGAUUGCUUCACAUCUGAUACCUCUUAUUGCAGCAAACCCUGCAUCUUCAGUCACUUGCCAGUCAUUUCUGAUUGAUUAUUUUUAAAGUAUGUAUCUGAUUUUUUAAUCGUUUGUAUAUUUUUAACAAUAGAUUCUUAGAAAUAUAAACUUGUCUGUGUCUAAAAAUAUGGGUUCCUGGGUCUACAGAGUUAGAAUAUCCAAGCAUGGAUGAGAAUUUGCAUUAACAAACUAACCAAGUCAUUCUGUUCUUAUCUUUCACAGAGGUCACUGUAGAACAACUGUUGUUUUCAUUUAGCCCCUCUGCCUAAAAUGUUAGGAAAGCAAAACACUGGUGAACAGUGUUUGAGAAAAAUGUAGACUAAAUUUAAAUACCUGUAAGCAGAGUAUACCAACCUCUCAUCUCAAUUCCCACACCAACUUAGCAACUGCAGAGGUUACUUACAUGCCUGGCUGCAGAGGCACUGGAAUUUGCUACUGUUGACCUCAGUUAUUAGGGGAAAAUUAUCAUUACCUGUUGUAGAAAGAUGCUAAGCAUAUAAGGCAGACAAGAUUCUUUCACUAUGAUGGCAGAAAAUCAAGACUUGGAGGAGACUGUUAUAUAAAGUUUCUCUAACAUUCAUUACAUUUAUCUAAGGACUCUAUCAGAUACUUUCAGUGUGGUCUCUCCUAAGUUCAUUGAAAUUCAAAAUAAUUAAUUGAAGUAAAGCCCUGCAUUUGUGCAUGCGUUCUGAGCAAUUAAGUGGAGUGAAACACAUGUAUUGCUAAUCUUGCAUGCUGUGAUUAAGAUAGAAAUGAAGACGUCCAUCAAACGAGAUUACUUCUUCAUCAACAAGGCUCAGAAAUGUUUCUACAGCUGUUUAGAUCGUUUUAAUUGUAUCAGAGCCUCUCACAUCAUGGUUUAAGUGAGGCACUAUUUCCCCCCAUUAAAAAAGAGAAUAUGAAGAUAUGAGAGUAUACUAAUCCGCAUGUGAAAGAAAUCACAAUGCAUUUAAAGGUUUCUUUACCAAUAAAAUUAGAUUAGCUAAAGAAACAAAAGGCAUUUGUGUGUUUAUGAUCUAUUUUCAUACUUAACUGCACAAACACGGAGCUGAGAGGACCAGCUGGGUCCCACUUUUCAUUAUCAAAUAUUCCUGGAUUAUUCCCUCUGGCCACUCUAACUCCUUUAUUUGAAAAAAGAACAGGGAAUGGUACUACCUUCCCUAUGUAAAAGUAAAUCUAAUUGAUGACUCACACACAAAAAAACCAUGAUACUUGUUACCAUUUCCUCAAUUUCCAUUCCUCCUUCCAAUAGAAACAUAGUUUUUUUAAAGCAACUAAUUAUUCCAAAAAGAAAAGAACUCACUUAUUCUACCAAUUUUUUGGUUAGUUACUCAGAAUUAUUCCUAGUAAUAUAGACUUGGAUUUUGAGUCCCUCAAUGGGACUGAAGAAUAAGACCAAAUGUUGUCUCAGAAUAAUGAAUGAUUUGACUCAAAGUGAUUUCUUAAAAGCCAAAGUUACCAUUUCAGAAAAUUCUUUCUCUUGUGGUUCAGCGAGCUAUGAAGGAGGUGAACUGAACAGAAUGAGAAUAAAUCAAGAUUGGACUUUUCAUAGGAUUUCAAUUCAUUUUGAUAGAUCUUCAAGUUGAACAUAAAAGAAACUCUCAGACUUUAGGAACCUAUAGGUCAGAGUGGUUCAACUGAAAAAGCAAAGAGAAACAUGCAGACCCG